ACACCCUCCGACCCAACGCGCGCAAAUUGUUCGCACACAUACAAAACUAUCGCGUCUCUUGUUUCUCUCUCGAGCCGUUCACUCACCACAUCGCACCUGCUGUUCAUCUUUCUUCAGCUUUCCUUCAACGCUACUUGGCUCUUUCUUCACUUCCUCAAGUAAUUGAAUCCUACGGUGGCUGCCGUACUUAAUCAGCAUAUCUGACUGGUGGCGGCACUAAGGUUUCUAAGUAACCAUGGCCGAUUUCCAGACCUCGACUCAACGAGCCAAAUGGAUCUUGUCUCCUCAGGAGCUGGGUGGCAGGUACAACGCUGCUAACCAGAGAGCAAUUGAAGCUCUGGAGAAGUUUGGUGCAGCACUGAUGGAAGUAGAUGCUGACGGAUCAUUGUCAUAUCCAGACCCCCAGAUAAAUUCGAAAGAUCAUGCUGACAAACAUUCUCGCCCCAAAUCGUUAAGUAUUGAAGAAGAGCAGUUUAUGCGAGUAUUUUAUGAAAACAAACUUCAAGAAGUAUGCAACAAUUUUCAUUUUCCUCAUAAAAUCCAGGCAACAGCUCUAAUAUAUUUUAAAAGAUUCUACCUACAAUGGUCUGUGAUGCAACAUAAUCCAAAAAAUGUGAUGUUAACCUGCAUUUAUGCAGCUUGUAAGAUAGAAGAAAAUCAUGUCUCGGCUGAGGAGCUUGGUAAGGGGAUUUCACAGGAUCAUCAAAUUAUUCUCAAUUACGAGAUGAUAGUUUAUCAGAGUCUGGAAUUUGACCUUAUUGUUUAUGCACCUUAUCGGUCAGUUGAAGGAUAUGUAAAUGAUAUUGAGGAACUCUUUAAUGAGAAUGCUGAAAUGCUUCAAAUGCUGAAGGUAACAGCAUCAUUGGAGGUUGAUAAAAUUAUGUUAACAGAUGCCCCACUUCUCUUCCCUCCUGGGCAGUUAGCAUUGGCUGCAUUGCGCAGAUCAAAUGAAGUUCAUGGAGUCAUUGACUUUAAUAGCUACCUCGAUAGUAUCCUCUCUCGCCAGAAUUCCACACAUACAAUUUCUGAGCUCUACGAGGGUAUUAAUGCAAUUGAAUCGUUGGUUAAUCGGUAUGCUUUCCCUUCAGAAAAGGAUUUGAAGCACAUCAACCGAAAAUUAAAAUCAUGCUGGGGACUGGGCUCCAAUGACGAGAGUAAGAAAAGGGAGAAGAAAUCAAAGCACAAAUCAAAGAGAAGUUCGAAUGAAAUGCAAAACAGGCCUCUGCAGAAUUAGCUGUAUGUCUGUCUUCCACCCAUUACAUUUUUCUAGGCUUUUACUGGUUUUCAAUGGAGGCUCAGCCCCUUGGCUUUGGGCAAUGAGUUUGGUAUAUGAAACCAACAUCCUUGAGCCGCGUUCAACAUGAAAAUAUGGAAAAGGAAAACAUCAUAUCAAAGCACAGAUUAAAAAUUUGCCCCCUCUUUGAUACUCACUCUCUGAUUUUAUUCUUUUCUUGAGUCAGCUAUAUUUCUUGGUCAGUAGUGACCAAGAAAAUUCUGCCAUGUAAUGAUAACACUGCGACAAUUUUGAAUUCCAGACUUAUUCUGUCCUAGAUUUUAUUUCACAUUUUCUUCUGUCAAUGAAAGAGCUUUUUCACAUCUCCUUUCCUUUGGAAUGCGGGAGGAAAUUUCAUCUUCCUAAUUUUAUUUUAUUUUUUUGUGGGGAGGGGUGGAAUUGCUUUCUCCAUUGAAUAUAUCUUACCAUAAAGAAAGAAUAAUGAGAAACAAACAACUUCAAUACAA
RNA transcript from Cucumis sativus (cucumber), 1740 nucleotides. It is a transcript of the gene named cyclin-H1-1, with no coding region annotated. The transcript has 14 exons. NCBI's taxonomy places the organism in Eukaryota, Viridiplantae, Streptophyta, Magnoliopsida, Cucurbitales, Cucurbitaceae. The record is from RefSeq and is a predicted model, not a curated record.